Molecule: ribosomal RNA, 459 nt
Filed under: uncultured bacterium
Lineage: Bacteria
Description: partial 16S ribosomal RNA
Rfam family: Bacterial small subunit ribosomal RNA
Source: RNAcentral
CCUACGGGGUGCAGCAGUGAGGAAUAUUGGUCAAUGGGCGCGAGCCUGAACCAGCCAAGUCGCGUGUGGGAAGACGGUCCUAUGGAUUGUACACCUCUUUUGUCGGGGAGCAAAAGACGCCACGCGUGGCGUUCCGCGAGUACCCGAAGAAAAAGCAUCGGCUAACUCCGUGCCAGCAGCCGCAGUAAUACGGAGGAUGCGAGCGUUAUCCGGAUUUAUGGGGUUUAAAGGGUGCGCAGGCGGAAGAUCAAGUCAGCGGUAAAAUUGAGAGGCUCAACCUCUUCGAGCCGUUGAAACUGGUUUGCGUGAGUGGGUGAGAGGGAGGUGGAAUGCGUGGUGUAGCGGUGAAAUGCAUAGAGAUCACGCGGAACUCCGAUUGCGAAGGCAGCAUACCGGCGCUCAACUGACGCUCAGGUACGAAAGUGUGGGUAUCGAACAGGAUUAGAUACCCGGGUAGUC